Molecule: ribosomal RNA, 198 nt
Filed under: Triticum aestivum (bread wheat)
Lineage: Eukaryota; Viridiplantae; Streptophyta; Magnoliopsida; Poales; Poaceae
Description: partial small subunit ribosomal RNA
Source: RNAcentral
AUGAUAGCACCAGGAAAUUCUUUGUCCUUGAAUCAAGGUAUUCAGGAAGAACAGGUUGUUCCGGCUAGAUACCGUCAAGAAUUCUGGACUAUUGCAUGGGAACAGAUUCAUGUUAGAAAUAUUUUUCCUUUCCCAUAUUUUUCUAUUGGGGUUCUCUCAUUCCUUUUAGUGAGCACAAUGAUGCGAAUUGGGCUUUAA